UACGUAGGGGGCAAGCGUUGUCCGGAUUUAUUGGGCGUAAAGAGCGUGUAGGCGGUCAGGCAGGUCCGUUGUGAAAACUCGAGGCUCAACCUCGAGAUGUCGGCGGAAACCAUCUGGCUAGAGUCCGGAAGAGGAGAGUGGAAUUCCUGGUGUAGCGGUGAAAUGCGCAGAUAUCAGGAAGAACACCUAUGGCGAAGGCAGCUCUCUGGGACGGUACUGACGCUGAGACGCGAAAGCGUGGGGAGCGAACAGG
Molecule: ribosomal RNA, 253 nt
Filed under: uncultured bacterium
Lineage: Bacteria
Description: partial 16S ribosomal RNA
Rfam family: Bacterial small subunit ribosomal RNA
Source: RNAcentral